CAAUAGAUGACUGAAAGCAAGUAAUGGUCU
Molecule: transfer RNA, 30 nt
Filed under: Aphis gossypii (cotton aphid)
Lineage: Eukaryota; Metazoa; Arthropoda; Insecta; Hemiptera; Aphididae
Description: partial tRNA-Lys
Source: RNAcentral